Oxyura jamaicensis (ruddy duck) is the source of this 1234-nucleotide long non-coding RNA. RefSeq lists it as uncharacterized. Lineage: Eukaryota; Metazoa; Chordata; Aves; Anseriformes; Anatidae. The record is from RefSeq and is a predicted model, not a curated record. The transcript is spliced from 2 exons.
GAAGUCUGAAAUUGACAAGAGAAAUUAGUUUUCACAAAAUACAAGUUCCCACCCAUUUACAUGUAUUCAGGUCACUUCUCACAUUUUGUAACAGGUUACCCAGGGAGCUGGUGGAGCUACCGUCCCUGGGGGUGUUCAAGGAAAGGCUGGAUGUAGUGCUUAGGGACAUGGUUGAGUGGGUGACAUUGGUGGUAGGGAGAUGGUUGGACCGGAUGGUCUUGGAGGUCUUUUCCAACGUUAAUGAGUCGGAUUCCCAUCUUGUGUUCUACAUAGUAACAUCAUGUCAAAUUCACUGUUCAGUUAUGGACUCUAGAAAUUGAGAAAAAAUUCUGCACCCACCUAUGAUAUCCUCAUACCAGCCAGUCUUGUUAAAUAGCUUACUAACAUUUUCACCCUGUAUGGACAACAUUCAUAGUGAAAACCUCACAUGGAAGAAAUCUGCUUCACUGCCAAUGCGACAUGACUUGGCAGCUACCCUACUCAGUGUGGUAUUUGUUUUGUGUGUUCAUACAGUCGUAUUUGUUCUCCAGCAUUUCAGUCAAGCUAUAAGAGUUCUGGGUUGAAUGUUAACAUGUAGCAUUAAUAUGAAUUUUAACUGAAACAUCCACUAAUCAGCCUAACAAGAUAUAAUGACCCAGUUCUUGAAGCUGCCCAGCAGAAGAAAAGAAAGCCUCUCCACAUGUAAAAAGCAAAGUACCGCUUCAGCUUUCCUACUGAUCAAGCCUUGCUACUGUGACUACAAUCAAAUAAAUUCUACCCACACUAUGUGCGUAAGAUCAUGUGUGUUCCUAUAAGUUUUCAGAGACCUGUCUUUUCAAACUAAAAGUUUUGGUUAUAGAAACUGAUCAUUCACAUCUUCUCUGAUACAAGAAGUUCCCAGGAUUAAUAAUUUAGUUCUACCAAUUUAGCUCUACCUCUCGACAAUGCCUUAAAAACCUACACAAUGCAGCAGAAUAGCACAGAAAAAUAAUACAAAAAAAAAAAAAAGAACACAAAAAGAGGCAUUAGGAAAAAAAAAAAAAAGAUGAAACAAAUUUUCUGUUUUCCAACUGUAAACAAAAAAAAAUAAUUUAAAAGUAAUUCUGAUCAAUAUUUAGUUUUCAUAGUGUACGAUUAUUUUCUAGAUCAGUAAGAUUUGGUGCUCUACCCUGAUUUUCAGUGCAGAUGCAAAGUUAAAGAGGUUUGGUGGUUUGUUUUCUUGACUUGCACUGAGUUCUUGGAACUAGUUGUAUAU